GACGAACGCUGGCGGCGUGCUUAACACAUGCAAGUCGAACGGAAAGGCCCUGCUUUUGUGGGGUGCUCGAGUGGCGAACGGGUGAGUAACACGUGAGUAACCUGCCCUUGACUUUGGGAUAACUUCAGGAAACUGGGGCUAAUACCGGAUAGGAGCUCCUGCUGCAUGGUGGGGGUUGGAAAGUUUCGGCGGUUGGGGAUGGACUCGCGGCUUAUCAGCUUGUUGGUGGGGUAGUGUCUUACCAAGGCUUUGGCGGGUAGCCGGCCUGAGAGGGUGACCGGCCACGUUGGGACUGAGAUACGGCCCAAACUCCUACAGGAGGCAGCGGUGGGGAAUAUUGCGCAAUGGGCGGAAGCCUGAUGCAGCAACGCCGCGUGCGGGAUGACGGCCUUCGGGUUGUAAACCGCUUUCGCCUGUGACGAAGCGUGAGUGACGGUAAUGGGUAAAGAAGCACCGGCUAACUACGUG
RNAcentral lists this ribosomal RNA (468 nucleotides) under uncultured bacterium. Its description in RNAcentral is "partial 16S ribosomal RNA". It matches the Rfam family "Bacterial small subunit ribosomal RNA", at positions 28 to 507 of the family's 1533-position model. The record is from RNAcentral.